AGCGGAGGAAAAGAAACCAACAGGGAUUGCCUCAGUAACGGCGAGUGAAGCGGCAGCAGCUCAAAUUUGAAAUCUGGCCCCCUCCCGGGGCCCGAGUUGUAAUUUGCAGAGGGCGCUUCGGCGUCGGCCAUGGCCUAAGUCCCUUGGAACAGGGCGUCACAGAGGGUGAGAAUCCCGUACGUGGCCGCCGGCCUUCGCCAUGUGAAGCCCCUUCGACGAGUCGAGUUGUUUGGGAAUGCAGCUCUAAAUGGGAGGUAAAUUUCUUCUAAAGCUAAAUACCGGCCAGAGACCGAUAGCGCACAAGUAGAGUGAUCGAAAGAUGAAAAGCACUUUGGAAAGAGAGUCAAACAGCACGUGAAAUUGUUGAAAGGGAAGCGCUUGCAGCCAGACUUGCCCGCAGUUGCUCAGCCCGGCCUCGCGCCUGGCGCACUUUUUUGCGGGCAGGCCAGCGUCAGUUCGGGCGGCCGGAUAAAGGCCCCGGGAAUGUAGCUCCCCUCGGGGAGUGUUAUAGCCCGGGGCGCAAUGCGGCCAGCCCGGACUGAGGUCCGCGCUCCGGCUAGGACGCUGGCGUAAUGGCCGCAAGCGGCCCGUCUUGAAACACGGACCAAGGAGUCUAACAUCUAUGCGAGUGUUUGGGUGUCAAGCCCGGGCGCGCAAUGAAAGUGAACGGAGGUGGGAACCCCUCGGGGCGCACCAUCGACCGAUCCUGAUGUCUUCGGAUGGAUUUGAGUAAGAGCAUAGCUGUUGGGACCCGAAAGAUGGUGAACUAUGCCUGAAUAGGGUGAAGCCAGAGGAAACUCUGGUGGAGGCUCGCAGCUGGUUCUGACGUGCAAAUCGAUCGUCAAAUUUGGGCAUAGGGGCGAAAGACUAAUC
RNAcentral lists this ribosomal RNA (873 nucleotides) under Astrosphaeriellopsis caryotae. RNAcentral describes it as "eukaryotic LSU rRNA". It matches the Rfam family "Eukaryotic large subunit ribosomal RNA", at positions 49 to 936 of the family's 3401-position model. Lineage: Eukaryota; Fungi; Ascomycota; Dothideomycetes; Pleosporales; Astrosphaeriellaceae. The record is from RNAcentral.